This is a long non-coding RNA of Dromaius novaehollandiae (emu), 1611 nucleotides long. RefSeq lists it as uncharacterized. The transcript is spliced from 3 exons. The record is from RefSeq and is a predicted model, not a curated record. NCBI's taxonomy places the organism in Eukaryota, Metazoa, Chordata, Aves, Casuariiformes, Dromaiidae.
UCCGUGGCCCAGGACUGAGAGCUGCAUUCACAUCUUCUGGAAUCUGAAUCACUUCCUUAACUACAGUGUUUUCCAGACUUCACAUCACAACAGAAAUGUUUGGGAAACUCUCCACUCCUUGUGAUCCAGACAUGCAGCUGGGCUGUGGGGAGGUGGACAUGAUUUGAACUCCCACAUCAUCCUCUGCCAGGGCAUUUGCAAAUACAGUGGGAUGCGUAGGAGAAAAUCAAGAGAGUUCCUAGGCUGGAAAGUGUCUGAUACAGCUAAUUCACCACCAGGGGAUCCAGAAGUACCAACAUCUGUGGGUGCAACUAAUUCCAAAAUUGGGAUAUGAAAUACUUACCAGUCCUCCACACCCACAGCACAGCACCUGAAAGGAAGGAACGGCUGGCCCACCAUCUGGGAGAGCACAGAAGGAGGAGAAACACAGCCUCAGGACUUCUACCAUUUUCACACUUUUGUAUGUAGAAUCUCCCAAACUGUUUUCAUUUGUUCACAAAACCCGGAUGAGAUGUCCUGGAGGAUAUCGUGAACAAUGAAGUCAGGGUUCAAUUAACGUGAAAGCCAAGGCAGGAUUGUAUCUAACCAAUCAAUGGAGAAAGCACAGAUGGGUAAGGGGAGUUUUAAAAGAAGGCAGUAGAAAACAAAAAGUUGCUAUGAGGGAAAGAAUGAAGAUUGCUAGAUGCAGAAGAUUUUCAAAUUCUGUUUCCACUCAUCCUUGUUUUCUUCCCUCACUCACAUCUUGAAGACAGAUGUCUGAUUUGUUCCUGCUGGGUUUGAAAUGCUGCAGUACAAGCUGAAGAACAUGCUGAUAUCAAAUUCAUCCAGUAUAAAUUGUCAGAAAUCACUAGAAGGACACCUGAUUUGUAAAAGUGUAAAGUGUGCAGAAGUUAAUCUUGGGAUCUGAGGCUUCAUCCUUAGAACAUGUUAAUGUUGCCCCUUAAACUAUUACUUAACUAAAAAGCACAUGUGCGUCGAACACUGGCAAGAGGCUGAAUUGAACUUGUAGUGUCUUUUACAAAUGUUCUUUCCCUUUGCUGCUGUCUUGAGAUCAAAGACUUGCAAAAGGCAAUCUGUCUGUAAAGAACAGUUUGGGAGAUACAGAUAGCUCUUCUUUUACUGGUUCAAUUAUUUUUGGUCAUAAGUUUGAGGAAGGUUGACUCUUGUUGUGCGAGACUUCUACACUGAAGGCCUUUACCACAGAUACAGCAAAAUCCAUGUCAUUUUUGGACAAAUGUAUGACAGAAAAGUAGUGGCCGGCAGAGGAAUAUAUAAAAGUUGCAUUGGAUUGGAGGGGGGAAAGGCAUAGAACUCCUAAAGAUAUCUUUGCUAAUUCUUCAUAGCUCAGCUCUGUGAGGAGAUUGUGAGAGCUCUGGAUGCAGCCAGUGACUAAGCUAUGGAAAUAAUGGAAAAUGUCCUGCCGUGCUCUCUGUUGUUUUCUUGCACCUGUGGUACCACUGCAAACUACUGGUCAGCAAAGGACGGUUUAUUAAUGCUAAGAAAUAGUCUUAAUCCCAUGAUGUUUUCACACUGAAGAAAGUAUUCUUUACUCUCAUUGUCUCAUAAAUAAGGAGAAACUAUCAUAAAGGCUAUGAGGUGCUUCAAGAAAGA